This is a long non-coding RNA of Caenorhabditis elegans, 4071 nucleotides long. Ensembl annotates it as ncRNA. Its record names the gene linc-22. The record is from Ensembl. Lineage: Eukaryota; Metazoa; Nematoda; Chromadorea; Rhabditida; Rhabditidae.
CAAAAUGAGAAUUCCCAUGAGUUUUCGAAAUAUAUUCCUUUCCAUUUCGAAACGUUGCGAAACAAUCUGAGGCCGUGAAACAGUUGGCAAUUAGUGUCAUUGUUCCCGCCAUGCCACAUCUUCAAAAAAACAACUGUUGUGACACUGAUGGAUUGGAUGAGGUUUUCAAGAAAUCUCCAAUUUUAAUGACCCGUUGGAUGUUUAGUGUGUAUAAUUAGAAAUGCAAGCUUCAAAUGCAACAUCGGAUCUUCGCUUCAUCAUGUGUGUUUAUAAUUUUUUUUUUCUCAGUGAUUUAAUGCAACAAAAAUAAUUGCGAUUUUCUUCCUCAGUUUCUUUUGAUUGUGAUCAUGAUGCUUGCAGUCAUUUUUCCAACAUGAUGUUACAUCUUUAAAAAAAAAUCAAACACUUCCAUUCGAGUAGAAAACAUGGCAAACUCGAUACGAAGAAUGUUCAACUUUCUUCAAUUGUGCGUAUGAUGAUUGAAAUCAGUUUUCCAAUGGCAGCAAUACAUUUAAAAAAAUCGACUUCAACGAACUUCACGCCAACAACAUUUUAAUCUUCAAUUCUUGAUAUCUUCUGGAUGAGUAUGGUAUUUUUGAUUUUUUUUGAUUAUCAUUUUUCAAUUUUCCAAAUUAUGAUUAAUUUUAGCUAAUAAUUUUACUUUUUCUAUUUUUAAACCUACUUUCUGAUUUUUAGAAUUCAAGUAUUUAGUAGACACCCGACCCUUCUCCCACUAUAAACUCUGUUGUUGUUUUCUUACUCAUUGUCAUUGUCCCAUUAUAGCCGUUUUGUCAAAGAUUAUUGAAUAUUACUUAAGGCACUUGCAGACUAAAACUAUAGGCUACGCACUCUGACAAACACGUUCCCUAAAUCAAUUGCGCGAGUCUACAAAAAUGUUCUUCCUGGAACACGUGCAAGCUAUUGCGGAAACGUUUCGUAACUCAACAAAGAAUUGUGCAAUUGCUCUUUUUCCAACACGUUAUAGUGCAGACAAUGUAUAUUUGUGUCCGCAAAUGAUUUUGAGUUUUUAUUUACAAUAUUUAUUAUUUUUUUUAUAUACCGAUUUUUUCAAUGUGUCCCUGUUCCCUCGUCUCCAUUUUACUGUUGAACCAAUUAAUAAUUCAAAAUAUUUAAUAUUUUGAAAGUCGCUUUAAACUGUUAAGACUUUAGCGACCGGCAGAUUUAACUGCAAGCAAGAUUUGCAGUAUCACAUGAAGAAAAUUUCAUCUGUUAUAACUUUAUGUCACGGAGAUCCAAUUCGUUAAGUGAAUGCAAAAUGGGAUUGUGAUCACAACUCGCAAUCGCAUGUGACGCAAAGCUCAUUUUAUUGUAUUGAAUUGAAAUUUCCAUUUUGCUUGUACAGAAUCAAAGCUUUUCGUGAACAAAGCUUAUUCUGCUCAACGACUACACUAGUUGAAAAGAUCAGUAAAUUUUUCACAUUUUUCUCCACGGCGCUUUCUGAAACUUUCUUUGAUGUCAUCAUGACUGCUAUAUCAGUGAGAACAAAGUUAUCAAAGAUCAUAAAUGUUCUAAUAACAAUGCUUGGAGAAGUGUUCAAAAAUUACUGAUAGAUCACGUGUUCCGAUGAGCAAUUUUUUGUUUUUCACACAAUCUAAAAGAUGAUUCAACUGAACACUCAGUAACAUUACGUUUCAAUUCAAAUCAAUGAAAAUUCGUGAGUUUGAAACUGUAAGAAAAUUUCAGUUUAUCGGAAACUGAAGAUUAUGAUAAUGUUACUUGCAAUUGUGUUUCUAUCUUUUGGAGUUUGGAGUACAUGUUGUUUGCAAUUCAAGUCCACGGAAAAAUCCUAUUUCACUUAGUACGCAGUAUUCAACUAUACCUGUGUAAUAAUUCUUCUGAACAAACGACAUGUGAUUCAAGUCUACAAGGUUUCAACAUGUGGUUAAGAAUUAGCCAAGCCAUGUUUGAGGUGUGAUAUCUAUGGAACUGUGGAAGGUAAGGACCCGUUCCUUCCUGAUGACCUAUGCUUUAUCUAUUGUCGUGUGGACGAUUACCAGCCGAUAUCAGUGUACCAUACGUUUUCGCUGGGUUGGUAGAACACACUAUGACGUUCAGCGUUUUUGAUUAGCACUAUUUUGUAAUAUUUGAAAGAAAGUUUCACAUUAAGGUUGAAAUUUUCUUGUCCAUUUCAAUAAUUUCAAACCAAUAAAUGUUAAGCUUCUGGCUACUAAUAAAUUGCCUACUGUGACGUCCUUUCGGUAAUUAUAUUUGGCCACAGGAUGGACUCCUGGUCCUACUCAUCCGAGGGUGUUUGGAGAAGUUAUAUAUCAUAAGCAGGCAGGGCGCCUCGCCUACAGUAGCUCUAAAGCUUUUCAGCGUUCAUAAAGAUUAAGCUGGGAAACGCUACAUAGCUUCAUUUUUUGCAAUGCCUAUUGCCAAAAAGAAUGAGAAGUUGUCGCGGAAAUGAGAGAGGCAUAAAAGCGUACUAGUAACGCUUCUCACCUCAUACCGCGUAUCUAUUCGCUGAAAUAGAAAGAGGCCGAUAGGCUGUACUAUCAAUUUAAAAGAAAAGUGAAACUUCUUUACGCGGUAAUUGAAACCUCAUACCGCGUAUCUAUUCAAUUGAAUAGAAAAGCCUUAAGGCUAAAAAUGUUAUUGGUGGCUGUGAAGCCAAAUUCUGUUGAACACUAAAAUGAAUGAAACAGUUUUGUCUGUUUAACGCGGUAUUUGAAACCUCAUACCGCGUAUCUAUUCAUUUGAAUAGAGAAACAACAGGGCAUAGAAUGUUAUUGGCUGCUGUGAAGCCAAAUCCUGUUUUCAAGGUUUAAGAAACAGUUUUGUCUGUUUAACGCGGUAUUUGAAACCUCAUACCGCGUAUCUAUUCAAUUGAAUAGAAAAGCUUCUUGGGGUGGACACUGGUAGUAACACCAGCCAAUGUCCUUUGCUUAAUAAACAAUAUUAUUGUAUUGUUUAAAAUGUUGUUGGCAACUGUAAAGUCAACUCCUGUUUUCAAGCAGCGAUGAGCAGAUUUCACUGCGAUACGCGGUAUGACACGUCAUACCGCGUAUCUAUUCAAUUGAUUUUAGAAGCCCUAAGGCUUUAAAGUUUGUUGGUGGCUUUGAAGCCAACUACUGUUUUCAGGGCUUAUGUAACAUAUUUGUUUGUUUUACGCGGUAUAACACCUCAUACCGCGUAUCUAUUCAAUUGAAUAGAAAAGCCUUAAGGCUAUAAAUUUUGUUGGUGGUGCUGGCGGAUGGUCGGCAAGCCUAUUGGUAUGCCUUCCACCGUCUGCGUCUCUCCACCUAGUGGAGCGGCGCUAAGAGUAGGAGAGGGCAGUCUUGGUGAGGGCAACCUCGAGAGGUAACGGUUGAGCCCGACUCGCAUAUUAUUCUACUUCUAUUGUAUCUAACUUACUCUACUGUUUCUUAUUAUAUCUUUCUUAUAUAAAUUCUUAUAUAUUCUACUAUUGGACUUAGAACCUGGGCUCGGUCCCUAACCAUACGAGAGUGGAAUAAAGAGAUCCACACUAAUAGGCAGGAGCGGAGCACCCCGCCUACAGUGGCUUUGAAGCCAAAUCCUGUUUUCAAGGAAAUAAAAACAUAUAUAUAUAUAUAUAUGUUUAACGCGGUAUUUAAAACCUCAUACCGCGUAUCUAUUCAAUUGAAUAGAAAAGUCUUGAGACUUUAAAUGUUAUUGAUAGCUGUACAGCUGAUUAUUAGUUUCAAGAAAUGCAAAUUGACAGUGUUAUGAAACUCUACCGUUCAGUUUUAACAAGGAAUCAACCAACUUCAUGUCAACCUACUCAAUGUUUUCAAUUCAUUCUCAUUUUUCAAUCUGUUCAGUUUAAUUUAUACUCAACUCUGAUAUAAUCUGAUUUUGAAUAAAUUUGUAUCAACAGUGUGUUCAGUAAUUUUUGAAACGUUUCCAUUUCCAUCCUGCAAAGCGCCCAAAUGUGGGUAAGUUUGCAAGUGCUCAAAUUUAUCAUCUAGUUCUUUGACAAAACGGAUAUAAAGUUUUAACAGCAAUCUUUCACAAUUCUUAAACCUUCAUUUCGUUUACUUUUUUCAAACGUUUUUUUUUAUUUCAGCUCAUAUAAAUAUGUUUAUGAUA